UACGAAGGGGGCUAGCGUUGCUCGGAAUCACUGGGCGUAAAGGGUGCGUAGGCGGGUCUUUAAGUCAGGGGUGAAAUCCUGGAGCUCAACUCCAGAACUGCCUUUGAUACUGAAGAUCUUGAGUUCGGGAGAGGUGAGUGGAACUGCGAGUGUAGAGGUGAAAUUCGUAGAUAUUAGGAGGAACACCAGAAGCGAAAGCGGUUAUCUGGCUGGCAACUGACGCUGUUGCACGAAAGCGUGGGGAGCAAACAGG
This 253-nucleotide ribosomal RNA is filed under the name uncultured bacterium. Its description in RNAcentral is "partial 16S ribosomal RNA". It matches the Rfam family "Bacterial small subunit ribosomal RNA", at positions 524 to 776 of the family's 1533-position model. The record is from RNAcentral.